Molecule: non-coding RNA, 818 nt
Organism: Cinara cedri
Lineage: Eukaryota; Metazoa; Arthropoda; Insecta; Hemiptera; Aphididae
Source: the annotation of a GenBank genome assembly
UUUAUUUUGUACUAUUGUUAUGAACCCCUUAGUUAUAAUAGGUAUACAGUAUAAGCGUAUAUUAUAAGAGUAUAUGAUUGUAGUUUGUCGAUAACGCCUAGUGUGUAGGUGGCUCCAGGGAUAUUGUAUCGAUACGGCACCCGCGAGGAAGCCGGUGACCGGUGAGUCAGUCGUUCUAGUCGUUACAUAAAAAUUAUAUUAGCUCAAAAAUCCUUAGGACUGUUUUGUUAAAAUUUUUACUAAAACUGAACUACCACACUACCGCAAAAAAUAACGUUCGAACGGAACAACCUGUACGAUCACAACAACUGGUGGCAGCGGUAUCGCGGUCGUAAUUUUUGGCGAAGAAGCAACUUUGGAUGGAUAACCUAUAUCUAACAUACAUCUAUUCGGGGUAAUUUUUAUCGUUGAACAGUUGAUCAAAAGAGCGUCUUUUCGAUUAUUUAUACAUAUAAAAUAACUUGUCCUCACUGACUGAUUGUCGAUUGACUGACUGAUUCAUCAUUACCUGGCCCAAACCACUUGACGAAUCGGGCUGAAAUUCAGCAUACAGAAUACAGAUAGCAAUUAUGACGUAGGCAUGCGCUAAAAAAGGAUUUUUGAAAAUGCAACCCCUAAGGGAGUAAAAUAAGGGUUUUUAUGUAUUUUUGGUAGGAAUAUCUAAUUGGUUUUGUAUUUAUUAUUGUUUAUUCAUGGGUUACCUUGAUGAUAUGGAUGACGAUUUGGUUGUCACGGACAAGAAAACUAUUAUUGUUAUUGUUAUUAUUACCUACUUUUAUAUUUUACCCUAUUAUAUUAGCAGUAGCAAAGCAUUACCG